RNAcentral lists this long non-coding RNA (591 nucleotides) under Mytilus galloprovincialis (Mediterranean mussel). Lineage: Eukaryota; Metazoa; Mollusca; Bivalvia; Mytilida; Mytilidae. The record is from RNAcentral.
GGGUGCGAAAACCAAGAAAAAUGCUUAUUUGGGUCCCUUUUUGGUCCCUAAUUCCUAAACUGUUGGGACCUAAACUCCCAAAAUCAAUACCAACCUUCCUUUUAUAGUCAUUAACAUUGUGUUUAAAUUUCAUUGAUUUCUAUUUACUUAAACUAAAGUUAUUGUGCGAAAACCAAGAAUAAUGCUUAUUUGGGCCCUUUUUUGGCCCCUAAUUCCUAAAUUGUUGAAACCAAAACUCCCAAAAUCAAUCCCAACCGUUCUUUUGUGGUCAUAAACCUUGUGUCAAAAUUUCAUAGAUUUCUAUUAACUUAAACUAAAGUUAUAGUGCGAAAACCAAGAAAAUGCUUAUUUGGGCCCUUUUUGGCCCCUAAUUCCUAAAAUGUUGGGACCAAAACUCCCAAAAUCAAUACCAACCUUCCUUUUAUGGUCAUAAACCUUGUGUUAAAAUUUCAUAGAUUUCCAUUCACUUUUACUAAAGUUAGAGUGCGAAAACUAAAAGUAUUCGGACGACGACGACGACGACGACGACGCCAACGUGAUAGCAAUAUACGACGAAAAAUUUUUCAAAUUUUGCGGUCGUAUAAAAAUCAU